RNAcentral lists this ribosomal RNA (250 nucleotides) under uncultured bacterium. RNAcentral's name for it is "partial 16S ribosomal RNA". It matches the Rfam family "Eukaryotic small subunit ribosomal RNA", at positions 432 to 684 of the family's 1831-position model. The record is from RNAcentral.
GCGUGAAAAUUACCCAAUCACAAUUCGUGGAGGUAGUUAAUAGACAUAACAUUCUCGGCCCAUCGGGUUCUGAGAGAGUAAUGAAUUCAAUUUAAAAAAUUGAACGAAAUCCAUUGGAGGGCAAGUCUGGUGCCAGCAGCCGCGGUAAUUCCAGCUCCAAUAGCUUUGUUGAAAGUUGCUGCAGUUAAAAAGCUCGUAGUUGAAUAUCCGGCGUCUCUGACGUCUGCCUGAUACGACUUUCGAUACUGAA